RNAcentral lists this ribosomal RNA (893 nucleotides) under Trichodorus obtusus. Its description in RNAcentral is "SSU rRNA". It matches the Rfam family "Eukaryotic small subunit ribosomal RNA", at positions 112 to 1011 of the family's 1831-position model. Lineage: Eukaryota; Metazoa; Nematoda; Enoplea; Triplonchida; Trichodoridae. The record is from RNAcentral.
AUAGUUUAUUGGAUGUUUACGUUCCUACAUGGACACCUGCGGUAAUUCUGGAGCUAAUACAUGCACAAGCCGACGACCUUACGGAAGUCGCGCAUUUGUUAGAUCAAACCAAUCGGUCCUCCGGGACCGUAAUUUGAUGACUCUGAACAACUUAGCUGACCGCACAGUCUCGUACUGGCGGCAUAUCUUUCAAGUGUCUGCCUUAUCAACUUUCGUUGGUAGUUUAUACGACUACCAAGGUUGUAACGGGUAACGGAGAAUAAGGGUUCGACUCCGGAGAGGGAGCCUGAGAAACGGCUACCACAUCCAAGGAAGGCAGCAGGCGCGCAAAUUACCCACUCGCAGAACGCGGAGGUAGUGACGAAAAAUAACGAGGUGGCUCUCUAUGAGGUCCAUCAUCGGAAUGGGUACAAUUUAAAUCCUUUAACGAGGAUCUAUUGGAGGGCAAGUCUGGUGCCAGCAGCCGCGGUAAUUCCAGCUCCAAUAGCGUAUACUAAAGUUGUUGCGGUUAAAAAGCUCGUAGUUGGAUCUGCGCUCUGUGAGAGCGGUCGCUCGCUGAGUUGUACUGUCUCUCACGGGCUAACCAUUCGGUUUUCCCUUGAUGCUCUUCAUUGAGUGUCCUGGGUGACCGAAACGUUUACUUUGAAAAAAUUAGAGUGCUCAAAGCAGGCGAUUUGCCCGAAUAUUCGUGCAUGGAAUAAUAAAAGAGGUCCUUGUAGCCUUUUAUUGGUUAUCGCUACGAGGAAAUGAUCGAAGGGGACAGACGGGGGCAUUUGUAUUGCGACGUUAGAGGUGAAAUUCUUGGAUCGUCGCAAGACAAACUACUGCGAAAGCAUUUGCCAAGAAUGUUUUCAUCAAUCAAGAACGAAAGUCUGAGGUUCGACAGCGAUCAG